GCAUAUCAAUAAGCGGAGGAAAAAGAAACCAACAGGGAUUGCCCUAGUAACGGCGAGUGAAGCGGCAACAGCUCAAAUUUGAAAUCUGGCUCUUUCAGAGUCCGAGUUGUAAUUUGUAGAGGGCGCUUUGGCUUUGGCAGCGGUCCAAGUUCCUUGGAACAGGACGUCACAGAGGGUGAGAAUCCCGUACGUGGUCGCUAGCUAUUGCCGUGUAAAGCCCCUUCGACGAGUCGAGUUGUUUGGGAAUGCAGCUCUAAAUGGGAGGUAAAUUUCUUCUAAAGCUAAAUAUUGGCCAGAGACCGAUAGCGCACAAGUAGAGUGAUCGAAAGAUGAAAAGCACUUUGGAAAGAGAGUCAAACAGCACGUGAAAUUGUUGAAAGGGAAGCGCUUGCAGCCAGACUUGCUUGCAGUUGCUCAUCCGGGCUCUUGCCCGGUGCACUCUUCUGCAGGCAGGCCAGCAUCAGUUUGGGCGGUGGGAUAAAGGUCUCUGUCAUGUACCUCUCUUCGGGGAGGCCUUAUAGGGGAGGCGACAUACCACCAGCCUAGACUGAGGUCCGCGCAUCUGCUAGGAUGCUGGCGUAAUGGCUGUAAGCGGCCCGUCUUGAAACACGGACCAAGGAGUCUAACAUCUAUGCGAGUGUUUGGGUGUCAAGCCCGAGCGCGUAAUGAAAGUGAACGGAGGUGGGAACCCGCAAGGGCGCACCAUCGACCGAUCCUGAAGUUUACGGAAGGAUUUGAGUAAGAGCAUGGCUGUUGGGACCCGAAAGAUGGUGAACUAUGCUUGAAUAGGGUGAAGCCAGAGGAAACUCUGGUGGAGGCUCGCAGCGGUUCUGACGUGCAAAUCGAUCGUCAAAUUUGGGCAUAGGGGCGAAAGACUAAUCGAACUAUCUAGUAGCUGGGUUCCUGCCGAAG
Molecule: ribosomal RNA, 912 nt
Filed under: Exserohilum neoregeliae
Lineage: Eukaryota; Fungi; Ascomycota; Dothideomycetes; Pleosporales; Pleosporaceae
Description: LSU rRNA
Rfam family: Eukaryotic large subunit ribosomal RNA
Source: RNAcentral